UGAGGAAUAUUGGUCAAUGGACGCAAGUCUGAACCAGCCAAGUAGCGUGCAGGAUGACGGCCCUAUGGGUUGUAAACUGCUUUUAUGCGGGGAUAAAGUGCGUGACGUGUCAUGCAUUGCAGGUACCGCAUGAAUAAGGACCGGCUAAUUCCGUGCCAGCAGCCGCGGUAAUACGGAAGGUCCGGGCGUUAUCCGGAUUUAUUGGGUUUAAAGGGAGCGUAGGCCGCCAGAUAAGCGUGUUGUGAAAUGUACCGGCUCAACCGGUGAAUUGCAGCGCGAACUGUUUGGCUUGAGUGCACGGUAAGCAGGCGGAAUUCAUGGUGUAGCGGUGAAAUGCUUAGAUAUCAUGAAGAACUCCGAUUGCGAAGGCAGCUUGCUGCAGUGCGACUGACGCUGAUGCUCGAAGGUGCGGGUAUCAAACAGG
This 424-nucleotide ribosomal RNA is filed under the name Verrucomicrobiota bacterium. Its description in RNAcentral is "Verrucomicrobia bacterium partial 16S ribosomal RNA". It matches the Rfam family "Bacterial small subunit ribosomal RNA", at positions 355 to 776 of the family's 1533-position model. The record is from RNAcentral. Lineage: Bacteria; Pseudomonadati; Verrucomicrobiota.